UGACCUCUCAUAAGGGAUUACAGGAUGUCU
RNAcentral lists this non-coding RNA (30 nucleotides) under Rattus norvegicus (Norway rat). Lineage: Eukaryota; Metazoa; Chordata; Mammalia; Rodentia; Muridae. The record is from RNAcentral.